This 603-nucleotide ribosomal RNA is filed under the name uncultured bacterium. RNAcentral describes it as "bacterial SSU rRNA". It matches the Rfam family "Bacterial small subunit ribosomal RNA", at positions 67 to 669 of the family's 1533-position model. The record is from RNAcentral.
CGGCAGCACGGACUUCGGUCUGGUGGCGAGUGGCGAACGGGUGAGUAAUGUAUCGGAACGUGCCUAGUAGCGGGGGAUAACUACGCGAAAGCGUGGCUAAUACCGCAUACGCCCUACGGGGGAAAGCAGGGGACCGCAAGGCCUUGCGCGGACGGAGCGGCCGAUGGCAGAUUAGGUAGUUGGUGGGAUAAAAGCUUACCAAGCCGACGAUCUGUAGCUGGUCUGAGAGGACGACCAGCCACACUGGGACUGAGACACGGCCCAGACUCCUACAGGAGGCAGCAGUGGGGAAUUUUGGACAAUGGGCGAAAGCCUGAUCCAGCCAUGCCGCGUGCAGGAUGAAGGCCUUCGGGUUGUAAACUGCUUUUGUACGGAACGAAAAGACUCCUUCUAAUAAAGGGGGUCCAUGACGGUACCGUAAGAAUAAGCACCGGCUAACUACGUGCCAGCAGCCGCGGUAAUACGUAGGUGCAAGCGUUAAUCGGAAUUACUGGGCGUAAAGCGUGCGCAGGCGGUUCGAAAGAAAGAUGUGAAAUCCCAGAGCUUAACUUUGGAACUGCAUUUCUACUACCGAGCUAAGUGUGUCAGAGGGAGGUGGAAUUU